UUAAGGAUUUCCAAUAUGACACUAUCUUCUUUCUUCUCCUAUAGUAUUUGCCUCAAAUAGUAUUCAAAAAGUAUUCUAUAAGUGUAUCUGGGUUUUUCGAACCAAAAAUUUCCAAACAAUAUCGUUCAGAACUUCGAUUAAAUUUUCUGACAUGUUGUUCAUGGUAAUAUUGUUGUUGAUUUUUUAUUUUUGUAUCCUU
RNAcentral lists this long non-coding RNA (199 nucleotides) under Musa acuminata (dwarf banana). RNAcentral's name for it is "long non-coding RNA (MACU_LNC010905)". Lineage: Eukaryota; Viridiplantae; Streptophyta; Magnoliopsida; Zingiberales; Musaceae. The record is from RNAcentral.